Non-coding RNA from Pantherophis guttatus, 1133 nucleotides. NCBI's taxonomy places the organism in Eukaryota, Metazoa, Chordata, Lepidosauria, Squamata, Colubridae. The record is from RefSeq and is a predicted model, not a curated record.
CACUGAACCAGUUCUUCUCUUUCAGCUCUAGAAAGAAGACAGUGGAAAUCUCCAUCGGCCUCCAAAAUCUUGCCAAGAAAAGUCCAGGAAGUUGCUACUGAUUCAGAAGCACAAAAAAGGAUGGGGGAAGUAAAAACAGAAGCGUCACAAUGUCCAGUCCAUUUUGUGGAGGUGGGGAGGAUUUAUGAACUGGAUCUUAGAAUAGAUAACUGCUGUAUGCAACUGAACAACUCCAUUACAAAGAUGGCUUCUGGAUGGAGAAAAUGACAGAACAUCUCUGAGAAGCAGGAACGAGCUGAGCUGGCAAUUGAUGAGCAGCUAUAGAGCGUAGUCUGGAGCAAGAAAUGAUGCAUCUCUGCUUCAGAAGGCAGAUCCUCACAAGGAAAUCCUACCUUGAAGGCAGAAUGGAGGAAAGAUUUGUAAAUCUGGAAGAAAAGGUGAAUAAAAAGUUUGAAGAAUUUGUAAACACAAGUGAGUGGAGAGGUGAAGGAAAAGUGAAAAUUCUGUAAAAUAAGUGCAAAAAAAUGAUAAACUGAGAGAUGGAAAAAGAUUUAGCCUUCAGAUGUUGUGGGUGCUCCAUCACUGGAGGUGUAAUAAUAACAGUAACAGAGUUGGAAGGGACCUUGGAGGUCAUCUAGUCCAAUCCCCUGCUCAUGCAGGAGACCUAUACUAGGGAUUUGAACCACAAACUGCCGAUCUUUCUGAUCGACAAGCUCAGCGUCUUAGCCACUGAGCCGCCUAGCCAGUGUAGAAUAGACUGGACAACCACUUGUCUGGAACAGUAUAGGGACUCCUGUUUGAGCAGGGGUUGGACGAAGACCUCCAAGACCCCUCCCAACUCUGUUAUUCUGACAGACAAUAUUGCAGCAAGGCUACUGUAUACAUGAAGAUGGAAAAAUACUGAAAUACCCACAAUGCUGGUGUGGAUUGCAAAGAAAGCAGAAAUGGCAAAUUUAACAUGUUUAAUCUGGGAUAAAACAGUAUGGUCCUUUAUAAAAGACUUGGAACACUUUAUAAACUUUAUGCUGAACCUGGAGACUGGGGAGAAUGAGUCGGUGAUCUUGGGAUUUGAUGUUUAAAAAAGGUUGAAGAUGUGAUUUUGUCACUUACAGAUAAAUAUUAAUUUUCAAAAG